Molecule: non-coding RNA, 26 nt
Filed under: Sus scrofa (pig)
Lineage: Eukaryota; Metazoa; Chordata; Mammalia; Artiodactyla; Suidae
Also listed under: 1 other name
Source: RNAcentral
CGCAUCGACCUGGUAUUGCAGUACUU